GAUGAACGCUGGCGGCGUGCCUAAUACAUGCAAGUCGAGCGAACGGACGAGAAGCUUGCUUCUCUGAUGUUAGCGGCGGACGGGUGAGUAACACGUGGAUAACCUACCUAUAAGACUGGGAUAACUUCGGGAAACCGGAGCUAAUACCGGAUAAUAUUUUGAACCGCAUGGUUCAAAAGUGAAAGACGGUCUUGCUGUCACUUAUAGAUGGAUCCGCGCUGCAUUAGCUAGUUGGUAAGGUAACGGCUUACCAAGGCAACGAUGCAUAGCCGACCUGAGAGGGUGAUCGCCCACACGGGAACUGACACACGGCCCAGACCCCUACGGGAGGCAGCAGUAGGGAUUCUUCCGCAAUGGGCGAAAGCCUGACGGAGCAACGCCGCGUGAGUGAUAAAGGUCUUCGGAUCGUAAAACUCUUUUAUUAGGGAAGAACAUAUGUGUAAGUAACUGUGCACAUCUUGACGGUACCUAAUCAGAAAGCCACGGCUAACUACGUG
Molecule: ribosomal RNA, 497 nt
Filed under: uncultured bacterium
Lineage: Bacteria
Description: partial 16S ribosomal RNA
Rfam family: Bacterial small subunit ribosomal RNA
Source: RNAcentral